AAAGGAAGGACACAGAGAUGCUCCAGUGGCUGCAGCAAAAAAAAGAGCAGAGUCUGACAGCACUUAAAACUGAACACGGCACUCAUUAAAAGGAAGCCACUAUCAUUAUGAUGAAGAUGAAGAGGCCUAUAAGCAUUGGACUCCAGCUCAGACAGGCUCCUCCACACUCCUCCACACUCCACACGGCUUGUCUAAGGCUCUCUCCUUACUCUGAUCAACUGCAUCUAGCUUCUCUCACCAUAUCUAAGCACCUGUCCUGAUGGAGCUCACACUGGCCACCUACCCCUCAGCCAACAAUCUUGCAGAGAAAGGCAACUGAACCUCUUAGCCUCUCUCCGAUUCAUGUGUCCUCUCCAUCCUGUUGGCCUAAUUUCACUUCAGCCUUAAAACACUUCUGUUACGGUAAGUCUCCCCAUUACAUCCAUUUUAAGUCUCCCAAUAUCCUGAGCUCAGACUCUACUCCUUCAGCUUUCUUCCACGGCCAGCUUCCCAAAACACAGUCAUGUUAUCCCUGCUUAAAGACUUCUUGUGUGGGCCAGGGAGGUGGCUCAAUAGGUAAAUGCCACUAAAUCUACCAACUUGAGUUUGAUUCCCAGGACCAACACGGUAGAAAGAAUCAGCUCAUACAAGCAGUCACACACACACACAUACACAGAGAGAGAGAGAAUAUAUAUAAUAAAAACUUUUUUUAUUAACUUCACUGUGAACAACAAUAAUCUCUGCUUUGAUGCAUGCCAAAGCUCUCCCCUUCUGGCCGCUUGGAUCUACUUCAAGCCCUUUGCCCUGCAAAUAAAAAAGAGUGUCACCAGGACCCCACUCUUCAUCCAUCACUACUUAGGUCAACAGUCAUCUCUUUCCUGAAAUUCCCCAGCUUCUCCCUGGAGAGCCUGUUAUUUCCUUUCUGCCCUUGUAUAGACACCUUGGACAAAGUUUUGUUACAGCACCACACUUUACUGAAAAUACUGCCUACCAUCUUCUGUCCAACCUCCCCCUAAGAGAAAGAGCUUUACCCCAAAGUGUCUAAGCACUGAGCACAGUGCCUUGCCCAGAGAGGUACAUAAUAGUCAAAAGUUAUUGUGCCAGCCAGACUCCAGGCGUAAGAUCAGGGCCAGAUCAGAGGAAUGACCCCAACCUCAUAGCCCAUAAAAGCAGAGCUGGAGAGCUGACUCAGUGGUUAAGACAGCACUGUGCAACCACAAAGGCCUAAGUUCAGGCUCGAGUACCCACUAGCAAGCUCAGCACUGUGAGGGGAGAAGACAGUAUUGUCGGCGUUUGCUGGCUGCUUCAAGAGGCCCAUAGUGAGACUCUGUCUCAAACAAACAAAUAAACAAACAAACAAAGGAAUAAGAGUGUUAGAGAAAGCUUCCUUCUUUGACCUCCAGGGAUGUGCACAGGGACACACACUCAGACACAUAUAUGCAGAUAUCACACCACAUUCACACAUACC
RNAcentral lists this long non-coding RNA (1447 nucleotides) under Mus caroli (Ryukyu mouse). RNAcentral describes it as "lncRNA (MGP_CAROLIEiJ_G0003884.1)". The record is from RNAcentral. Lineage: Eukaryota; Metazoa; Chordata; Mammalia; Rodentia; Muridae.